This is a non-coding RNA of Mus musculus (house mouse), 73 nucleotides long. NCBI's taxonomy places the organism in Eukaryota, Metazoa, Chordata, Mammalia, Rodentia, Muridae. The record is from Rfam.
GGGGAGAUGGCUCAGUGGUUAAGAGCACUGGCUGCUCUUCCAGAGGUCCUGAGUUCAAUUCCCAGCAACCACA